GAAACUUAUCAUAGAUGGUUACAGUGACUUAUGUGAAGUUGAGAUUACUUCCAAACCAACAGUGCGGAGUUUGACAUUGUGCAAUAUUAAUGAUGAAGAUUUGACAUUGUUUGAUUGGGAUGGCGAUGAUUUAAAAAUGACAUGGAUGAAUUUUAUAGACAAUUUCCCUCUACUUGAGAAACUCAUCAUAGAUACUUGCAGUAGGUUGCAAAAACUUCAUAUUUCUCAACCGAAUUUGGUUAGCUUGGUGCUGAAGGAUAGCAUUGUGAAAUGGGAGGCAAGAAUAAAUUCGCCCAAGUUGAAAUCAUUUGAGUACAAGGGUGGCCUCACAGAUUUUACAGGAAUAGAAGAUUUACAAGAAUUGGAAUUCGUUCUGUUAUAUUUAGAUCCCCUUAAGCUUCGUGAUUACUACUACAGUUGGUUUAGAGAUAUGUUGGAGUCGUGUGCUCGCUCCAAGCAUUUGAGUUUGAUCUGCGAUAUUGAAGAGGUUGUCCUCAUUCCUGUUGAGGUAACUGAUAUAUUACCAGUAAAUGAUAUCACGAAUCUGGAGUUAGAAAUUAU
RNAcentral lists this unclassified non-coding RNA (561 nucleotides) under Hevea brasiliensis (rubber tree). Lineage: Eukaryota; Viridiplantae; Streptophyta; Magnoliopsida; Malpighiales; Euphorbiaceae. The record is from RNAcentral.